RNAcentral lists this unclassified non-coding RNA (726 nucleotides) under Hevea brasiliensis (rubber tree). The record is from RNAcentral. Lineage: Eukaryota; Viridiplantae; Streptophyta; Magnoliopsida; Malpighiales; Euphorbiaceae.
GAAAAAAUUGAAAAAUAUUCUCCAUACUUCACACCCAAGGUGUCACCACCAAGAAUGUUUCAACAUUACCAUUCCUGAAGAGAGCAUCCCAACGGUUAAACCUUUAAACUAGAACUCGUUUAAGAGAAAAGGGAAUAAUUAUUGGCAAUGACUGGUUACACAAGUGCACAAACACUAUUCCAAGAACUGGGGCUAUGAACAAGUUACACAAUAAUCUUAAUUUCCACAAUGAGAAUGUUGUGCGACACAGUGGGAGAGAACGUUCCGAUCUGUACUUGAGACCUCCCUGUUGGCUGCUCUUCUGCACAAAAAUAGCUAUACAAACAUUGUUUUUCAGGUGAAGAGGACUGCCCUCGCAGAACAAUUACAGUAUUGGUGUCCAGGAAUUAGUAACAAUAUCACCAGCAAGAUUUUCAUUCCUCGCUUGUCAAUGCAGAAGCAGGGAUUCCGUGCUUUUGAAACCAUUCUGGCAUAUGAAAUCUAUCGUACAGCACAGGCCGCACAUCUUUUUGCUUGGAUAGAUGCUUGAGAAGUGGAAGAAUUACCUCCAAAAGCUGUAUAUCAUGUGGUUGUCCAGCAGAAAAUGGAAUGCAUGGAAUUCCAUUUAGAGGUUGUAAUAGGAAACUGAAUGGAUUGUUAUCAACAAUGACGAUUCGGCUCAAGUCCUUUGAAAUGCAUACUAAAUCUUUCACAUGUUCUCGGUACUCCGUGCUAAUUGUUGAAGGC